CGCCGCGGAGGCCCGUGCGUCAUGACGUCAGGAAACUCUUAUAUGCAGACUCCCGGCGCCAUAUCUGUCUUUCGGGGCGGUGAGGCACGUUAGAGCUGGAGUGUUGCUGAGGACUGCAGGGAUGUGGCUUUCACUGGCAUCUUACAUCCAGUUAUGGGCCAAAGAUGGAUGAGAACCGAAUGGAGGACCAGUGGAACAAACCAGUGUAGCCAUUGCUGGUGCUGCACUAGGAAGCCAGAAGUUGAAAUGGUGGCGUCUGAAUUGACUGGACCAGCUUUUUUACUACUUUGUUGCAUGCUUUCACUUGGAUGGUUUACUUGGGUCCAGAUUGUGGAGCCCUGUUAAAUGGAAUGUACCAAGUCAGCUUGAUUGAAUGGACAUACACCUGCAAGUUUUAUACAAAAGGUAGAUUAUUUUUCUUUAAAGUUCAAGGGACUCCCAUGGCAGCAGGGGACAUGCUCCAUGUGCUUUUUAAAAGGCAGCUGGAUGGAAACUUUGGGAUAGAAGAGUCUACAUGUCUACACAAGAUUGUUUGACUAUCAUAAAAAUUAAAAUAAAUUUCUUCAAACCAUC
Molecule: long non-coding RNA, 573 nt
Organism: Nannospalax galili (Upper Galilee mountains blind mole rat)
Lineage: Eukaryota; Metazoa; Chordata; Mammalia; Rodentia; Spalacidae
Exons: 12
Source: RefSeq, a predicted model, not a curated record